RNAcentral lists this ribosomal RNA (715 nucleotides) under Pseudomonas sp. RNAcentral's name for it is "bacterial SSU rRNA". It matches the Rfam family "Bacterial small subunit ribosomal RNA", at positions 28 to 738 of the family's 1533-position model. The record is from RNAcentral. Lineage: Bacteria; Pseudomonadati; Pseudomonadota; Gammaproteobacteria; Pseudomonadales; Pseudomonadaceae.
AUUGAACGCUGGCGGCAGGCCUAACACAUGCAAGUCGAGCGGAUGACGGGAGCUUGCUCCUUGAUUCAGCGGCGGACGGGUGAGUAAUGCCUAGGAAUCUGCCUGGUAGUGGGGGACAACGUUUCGAAAGGAACGCUAAUACCGCAUACGUCCUACGGGAGAAAGCAGGGGACCUUCGGGCCUUGCGCUAUCAGAUGAGCCUAGGUCGGAUUAGCUAGUUGGUGGGGUAAUGGCUCACCAAGGCGACGAUCCGUAACUGGUCUGAGAGGAUGAUCAGUCACACUGGAACUGAGACACGGUCCAGACUCCUACGGGAGGCAGCAGUGGGGAAUAUUGGACAAUGGGCGAAAGCCUGAUCCAGCCAUGCCGCGUGUGUGAAGAAGGUCUUCGGAUUGUAAAGCACUUUAAGUUGGGAGGAAGGGCAGUAAGUUAAUACCUUGCUGUUUUGACGUUACCGACAGAAUAAGCACCGGCUAACUCUGUGCCAGCAGCCGCGGUAAUACAGAGGGUGCAAGCGUUAAUCGGAAUUACUGGGCGUAAAGCGCGCGUAGGUGGUUUGUUAAGUUGGAUGUGAAAGCCCCGGGCUCAACCUGGGAACUGCAUCCAAAACUGGCAAGCUAGAGUACGGUAGAGGGUGGUGGAAUUUCCUGUGUAGCGGUGAAAUGCGUAGAUAUAGGAAGGAACACCAGUGGCGAAGGCGACCACCUGGACUGAU